UUUGCGCUUGUAUGUAGCUCUCGUGUUCCAUUUUGCAUAUUUUAUGGUAUUGAAAUCGAAGUGUAAGUGCGUCGAGUCGAGCCUUGUGCUCCUCCGCCUUGCUGUUGCGAAUUCACUCCAAAAAUCUCCUUAUUCUGUGUAUUUCUACUUUUUGUGGAAUUUAUGAACUUUGGUGUAAUGCCGAGACGUUGUGCUUUCGGUUGUGCGCUCCGUGAGAUUCCAAUGCAUAGUUGCUGUCAAUUUCUUGAGCAGUUUAAAACUUGGGUCAGUCUUGUUGGUGGAAACCCUUAAACAUCUGAUCUUGAAUGUUAUAAGAAGAAGAGAAUUUGUGAUAUACACUUUUCUGACAGACACAGAAAUCAUAAUCAAUGGCUAAGCACAUUGGCAGUUCCGAUGCUUUAUCUGCUUGGACAACUACAGAGUCAAGUAAUCUUAGGACAAGCUUCAUCCACACAACAUUUACUGACUACAAUAAUACAGCAAGACUGUUCAGAUGCAUCUCAAGGUGCUUGAUGCUGGAACAUAGUUUUAUUAGCAAGCCUGAAAGAACAUCUGGAAAAGAUCUAAUGGCUCCACAAAAGAUCAAGCAUCUUCAAGCAGAAAUAUCGCGCUUGCGAAAAAAGGACAAUCUUUCAAAGCAAGAUUAAAAGGUGGUGCAGAUCGAUCAAUCGAAUUUUGUCAGGAAAAUUAACAUAUGUGGGUGAAGGCGAAACAAAAACAGCUGCCCAACAAUAUUAUGAUAAACAUAAACAUUAUAAAAAUAAAAAAUAAUAUGCAAA
Molecule: long non-coding RNA, 779 nt
Organism: Leptidea sinapis
Lineage: Eukaryota; Metazoa; Arthropoda; Insecta; Lepidoptera; Pieridae
Exons: 5
Source: RefSeq, a predicted model, not a curated record